This 253-nucleotide ribosomal RNA is filed under the name uncultured bacterium. RNAcentral describes it as "partial 16S ribosomal RNA". It matches the Rfam family "Bacterial small subunit ribosomal RNA", at positions 524 to 776 of the family's 1533-position model. The record is from RNAcentral.
UACAGAGGGGGCCAGCGUUAUUCGGAAUUAUUGGGCGUAAAGGGCGCGUAGGCGGCCAUGCGUGUCUUCCGUGAAAUCCCUCGGCUUAACCGAGGACGUGCGGAAGAAACUGCAAGGCUCGAGUCCGGAAGAGGGGGGCGGAAUUCCCAGUGUAGCGGUGAAAUGCGUAGAUAUUGGGAGGAACACCAGUGGCGAAGGCGGUCCCCUGGGCCGGAGCUGACGCUGAGGCGCGAAAGCGUGGGUAGCAAACAGG